This 21-nucleotide non-coding RNA is filed under the name Caenorhabditis elegans. Lineage: Eukaryota; Metazoa; Nematoda; Chromadorea; Rhabditida; Rhabditidae. The record is from RNAcentral.
UUAUGGAACUGGAAGUGCUUC